This 497-nucleotide ribosomal RNA is filed under the name uncultured bacterium. RNAcentral's name for it is "partial 16S ribosomal RNA". It matches the Rfam family "Bacterial small subunit ribosomal RNA", at positions 28 to 507 of the family's 1533-position model. The record is from RNAcentral.
GAUGAACGCUGGCGGCGUGCCUAAUACAUGCAAGUCGAGCGAACGGACGAGAAGCUUGCUUCUCUGAUGUUAGCGGCGGACGGGUGAGUAACACGUGGAUAACCUACCUAUAAGACUGGGAUAACUUCGGGAAACCGGAGCUAAUACCGGAUAAUAUUUUGAACCGCAUGGUUCAAAAGUGAAAGACGGUCUUGCUGUCACUUAUAGAUGGAUCCGCGCUGCAUUAGCUAGUUGGUAAGGUAACGGCUUACCAAGGCAACGAUGCAUAGCCGACCUGAGAGGGUGAUCGGCCACACGGGAACUGGGACACGGUCCAGACUCCUACGGGAGGCAGCAGUAGGGAAUCUGCCGCAAUGGGCGAAAGCCUGACGGAGCAACGCCGCGUGAGUGAUGAAGGUCUUCGGAUCGUAAAACUCUGUUAUUAGGGAAGAACAUAUGUGUAAGUAACUGUGCACAUCUUGACGGUACCUAAUCAGAAAGCCACGGCUAACUACGUG